GUAGGACACGUGGGUCCACUAAAACCAUAUCAGGAAGAGCAGGCCUGAGAACUUGGCAAGCGUAUAGACUGGGGGAAGAACAACUCCUACAUCUGGAUCCUGUUAGGACAAGGACACCAAGCACCAUGACAACAGCGGCCUCACCGACCUGCUCUCUGACCACUCGGUGUGUGCACCAAGGAGCCAACAGGGAGGAAACUCCAGACUGUCUUGGGAGUUUCAGAUCCUCCUCUCUGGAUGCCUGUGAGAAGCAAGGUUGUUUCUCUUUAAGAACUGUGACAGCAGCCGGACAGGAGGACCUCAGGGAAUUCUGUGAAAGCGGGGCACCAGAGGCAUCAAGGACAGCACAAGAAAACCCACAGAAUCAACUAACUUGGGCUCAUAGGGGAUCUCGGAGACUGAAUGGACGACCAGGGAGCCUGCACGGGACUGACUUAGGCCCUCUGCAUGUGUAUUACAGCGAUGCAGUUUGGUCUUCACGAAGGACUCCUGACAGCGAGAGCAGAGGUUGUCUCUGACUCUAUUGUUGGCUAUUGGGGACCCUUUCCUCCUACUGGGUUGUACAACAGAAUGUAAAGAGGAGACAUGUUCUGUAUUGUUUUGGCUUGGAGAGCGAUUUCUUCCAUUACUAAACAUUUAACAUGCUUUUAUGAAGUCUAUUCACUAUGACUUUGGCAAUUAACAUUACUUCCAAAAACAAAACAAAACACCAGAAAGAUGUAUUUGCCAUAGAUUGAAGAGGUUCUUAAAGAUGUUAACAUAUCAGUUUACUUGUGAUGAGAAGUCACUUCGGAAUUUACGAAGGGGAAAUAGAGCAAAAGUGAGGCUAUUUAUUUUUUUAAAAUUAAAAGAAAAUUCUGUGUGCAUUUGUGUGGGCGGUGCAGGUAUGCAUGCAGUACUCUCAGCGGCCAGAAGGGGGCAGUUGUUACUCUGGAGCUGUAGUGAGCUACCCAAUGUGGGUACUGGGAACUAGUUGUGUGUUAGUUUAUCCACUAGUCUUUCUCUCCAGCCCUGCUACUUCCUUCUUAUUUCAGAUUCAGGGCGGUAGUGAUGAGGUUUGGAGCAAUUCCCUAGAUAAGAGUCAACAGCCCUAUGUUUCCGAUCAGAAGGGCCGGUGCUUCAGAGCUCUUCUUUGACGAGGGGAAGAAGACAGUGACCUGGGUGAACCUACAGUGCAAAUGUGGUAAACUGCUGGCUUAAUUGCUCUCACCGGAGACCUUGGCAACUGUGGAAAUCGGGCAUCAGCUGGUUAAAGUCUUCUUUCUACCACCACUUUCCUGAAGUGCACUUCUGGCUGCUGGCUGCUGGCUUCUUCCUUUGGUAACUGAGACCCCAGC
Long non-coding RNA from Rattus norvegicus (Norway rat), 1337 nucleotides. RefSeq lists it as uncharacterized. The record is from RefSeq and is a predicted model, not a curated record. NCBI's taxonomy places the organism in Eukaryota, Metazoa, Chordata, Mammalia, Rodentia, Muridae.